Molecule: ribosomal RNA, 497 nt
Filed under: uncultured bacterium
Lineage: Bacteria
Description: partial 16S ribosomal RNA
Rfam family: Bacterial small subunit ribosomal RNA
Source: RNAcentral
GAUGAACGCUGGCGGCGUGCCUAAUACAUGCAAGUCGAGCGAACAGACGAGGAGCUUGCUCCCCUGACGUUAGCGGCGGACGGGUGAGUAACACGUGGAUAACCUACCUAUAAGACUGGGAUAACUUCGGGAAACCGGAGCUAAUACCGGAUAAUAUAUUGAACCGCAUGGUUCAAUAGUGAAAGACGGUUUUGCUGUCACUUAUAGAUGGAUCCGCGCCGCAUUAGCUAGUUGGUAAGGUAACGGCUUACCAAGGCAACGAUGCGUAGCCGACCUGAGAGGGGGGUCGGCCACACUGGAACUGAGACACGGUCCAGACUCCUACGGGAGGCAGCAGUAGGGAAUCUGCCGCAAUGGGCGAAAGCAUGACGGAGCAACGCCGCGUGAGUGAUGAAGGUCUUCGGAUCGUAAAACUCUGUUAUUAGGGAAGAACAAAUGUGUAAGUAACUAUGCACGUCUUGACGGUACCUAAUCAGAAAGCCACGGCUAACUACGUG